Molecule: small RNA, 305 nt
Filed under: Pseudomonas putida
Lineage: Bacteria; Pseudomonadati; Pseudomonadota; Gammaproteobacteria; Pseudomonadales; Pseudomonadaceae
Description: Pseudomonas sRNA P20
Rfam family: PhrS (bases 104-305)
Source: RNAcentral
AUUCUUGAUGCAGGUCAACCCUGCACCCGCCUCGCGCGUCCGUUGAUGGGCGCCAUUGACCUCGGUCAAUUUCCUCUCCCGCCCCAUUCGCUACUGUUACCCCAUCAGACAGGUGCAGGCGAAUGGAGGCCGAUAUGUUCUUCGAUAAUGUGGUUAUCGCUGGCGUUGUGACAGUCGGCCUGAUGCUGCUGUUUUUCGCAGGCCUGGGUAUUUUCAUCUGGAAGGACUCGAACAAGCGCAAGCAGGGCUGAUCCUUUCCGAUACACGAGCACGCAAGGCAUUUAGGGCAACUUCGGUUGCCCAUU